AGUGGAAUAGCUGGAUCAAAUGGUGGUUCCAUUUCAAGUUUUCUGAGAAAUACCCAUACUGCUUUCCAGGUUGGUUGCACCAAUUUGUAGUCCCACCAGGAAU
RNAcentral lists this microRNA precursor (103 nucleotides) under Marmota monax (woodchuck). Lineage: Eukaryota; Metazoa; Chordata; Mammalia; Rodentia; Sciuridae. The record is from RNAcentral.